Long non-coding RNA from Anopheles gambiae (African malaria mosquito), 1234 nucleotides. RefSeq lists it as uncharacterized. The transcript has 2 exons. The record is from RefSeq and is a predicted model, not a curated record. NCBI's taxonomy places the organism in Eukaryota, Metazoa, Arthropoda, Insecta, Diptera, Culicidae.
UAGCCGACGCGCAGCCCGUGCGGGUUCGAUGGCGUCCGGCAGUCGUGCUGGGCCUCCUUGCGCAGUACCCGAUCGACCUCGACCGAGGAGAAGAAGGCGACCGACUGGGGCAGAUCGCGAAAUCCGACACUGAAAAAAAUGGGCCUAGGAGUGUAUCUUUUACAACAUUUGCCUGAUAAAAUUGGUUUGCCAUCAUCAACAGCAACAUCAUCAAUCAAUGUCUUGUUUGCAGCGUGUAAUUGUCUCAAUGGAGUGCAGUGCAAGAGCUAUUAGGUCCUCAGAGGACUCUUUGUAAUAAAUAGCGUGAUUAGGGUUUUACAGACUUUUCCAGUAGUUCUCAUAGCUGUGGAACAGUUUAUUGACUCUUUCUUACGUGAAAUUAACUAAAUGUAAUGGGACUCUACAGAACCCUUGAUGGACAAAUCCAACAGGAAUUUCCAAGGCGCCUGUCCAAAAAAGGUGCCAGAGAGUCCAAUUUCCAACAUAUAGUUCACUUUCUUCUAAGAAAGAGUCAAUGAAGUGCCCCGCGGCUAUGAGAACCCUUGGAAAACCCUGUGUGCCCCGUUUUAUGUACCCCAACCAAUUAGACAACCAUCUGUAGUUACUACUAGGAACUCCCCAGCUAUCAGUUAGCAGAAAUUCCCAACACUGAAGACGGUAAUGUAAAUUAAUGCACAUUAAAAAGAUCUUUUUCGGAAUCAAUUUGAGUUGAAAUGAACGUCCAAUGCCCGGCAGAGUUCCACGAAUAAAUUCCGGAUCUGAAAUAAAUGGCAAGGCGGUUCUAAGAAGUGCAAAACUCCGGCAUUUCGGGCAGCAAAGAGUCGCAUGCGCAAAGAUCCCUGUGCUAUGCAGAUGGGACACGGUGCGACAUCAUACAGCAGCGUGCAGGUGCUAUCAGAAAUGUUUAAAAAGCUUUAUCUGUUUACAAUGUCCACUUAAUUUGUUUAAAUUAUGCUUGGCGAGAAUUACUUUGGCGUCGGGUUUGACAUUGCUAAGGAAAGAUAGGUUUGCUUAGGAAUUAAAUAAUUAAAUAAAUAAGCAGUUUUAUGGAUCAUCUGCCAGUAAAUUCGUUAUCGUGUGCAUUCGUUGCAAUCUUGUGCGCGUAAUUUAAAAUUGUCUUUCAAUUCCAGUUGGCUGAUUCGACCUGCACGUCCCAAAUGGUUUAACGCCAAACUAAGUGCGAAAUUUAAUUAAAAAUAAACUGAAAUAAAUUACAUUUAAUUGCUAUAAGAAA